Peromyscus californicus insignis is the source of this 5221-nucleotide long non-coding RNA. RefSeq lists it as uncharacterized. The transcript is spliced from 3 exons. The record is from RefSeq and is a predicted model, not a curated record. Lineage: Eukaryota; Metazoa; Chordata; Mammalia; Rodentia; Cricetidae.
GAGCACCAGCCUGGAAGGGGGACCCAACCUGUCUCUCUGGAAGGGAAUGCACCUGGACAGAAGUGUUCUUUGGAGACCAACGUUCACAGCUGCACAGGUGCUCACGCAUUCAGGAUAUGGUGACAUGUGGGAUUCCAAAAAUGGUCCGCUUUUCACCAGAGGAAUCACUUGAAUGGAAGCCAGGACCCUGCACGGUCAUCUGGUGUUAUUUCCUCCUGGGGACUGUUGCAUCCUGGGGACUUAUGCCGAGACCCAUUUUCAAGCAUCUUGUGGAGUUUCCCUAUCCGCUGUCCUGCCCUGCGGAUCCUCCUAAACACGGGAUUCUGCAUUCCUUUUAUCUAACAAGAAACUCUCUAGAUGUCUGAGUGCCACUGACACCAGCAAUAGGCAUUUUCCAGGCCUGUCCAGCUCCGCUCCUGGGUCCUAUGUAGUAACCUGUGGCUUUUCUGGGGAACAUCAUCGUAAAAACUGAUCCCCCCAGUAACCAGUCUGGCAGAAAUGAAGACAGUCUCCAGAGACACAUGUGUGUCUCGGCGGACUGUCAGACUGUUGAAGAAAUGGGCCCUCAGGAUACAGGGGUCCCCCCAGGAAUCUCACGCUGGAAGAGGGAAGGGCACCAGCAGGAGGGACCCUGUCUCCCUGAAAGAGAUUUCAAACAGUUGCAGCAACUUGUCUGUCACCUUAGAGGACAAGGCUGAAGCGCAGAUGAUGAUGAGUCCUGAGGACCGAUCAGUCCUGCAUAUCCCCGGUCUCUAUACUUUGAUCUCACUUCAGGUCCCUAAAGACAAAUGAGGGGUUUCCUGUACCUCAUCGUCCCCCUUCCCAGCGUGACCAUGUUGACUUAACCUCCUUUUUGUGAGUUCUGCUUUUCAAUGAGCUCUUUGGAUGGUCCUAAAUCUUUCUCUGGGACAACAAACAUGACUUUUCAGAUUGAGAAAAAUUUAAAUCUGCUUUUAAGUACAAGGUACAAUUCUGAUGAAGACAUCAUCUCCUGAUCCUUAUCCCGUUCUGGUUUACAGCACAGUCCCUAUCGCUUGAGGGAAUAAAUAACUACGAUGUGAUUGCUUCUGCUUUAUAGCAUAUGUUUUCCCUAGUGACAACGACCGCCCCUGACACACUGAACUCUGUCCCACAGAUUAACAGGCCAGCUCACACCUGUCCUUUAGGUCUUGUUUACAGGGGAGUGUUUAUAUGCAUACCAACAGUUGAAAGAUGUGUUUGAGCACCAGUGCCCCUUUAAAAACAAAUGAAUGGACAAGCAGGGGUUCAAGAGCCGGAUCUCGGCACGGCCGAUGUAAGAGAAAACCCUAAGUGUCUACUUUUUUGAAUUGUCCUUUUAAGAACUUACUGUUGGUUUGCAUAGACAUCUCAGAACUUACAGAUCAUCUUAACGUGUUACACCAUAGUUAAGAAUUCAACAGAAUUAUCCAACUCUGUUUCUAAUUAAAAAGAAUAAUAAAGUCAUGAAUGUGAAAGCUUAGCUCCAUCCCACGCUUUAUGCCUCAUACUUUUGGUGUCUGGUAAAGACUCAUAAAAGGAAAUGCUUUUUCCAACAAUGACAACGAAAACCACGCACGCAUAAAAGCAAAACUCUUCAAGGUAUCAGAUCUCAUGGCCUAACUCUUUAGCAAAUACUUAAUUUAAAUUUGGUUAAGUAAACAAAAACUAUUAAUGUACUUUACCUGUGUUUAUAAUGUUUGGAUAUCUAAGAUACCAUAUUUUCUGUUCUAUACUAUACCCUCCUGAACUUUCUUUUAAAAUUACCUCAUUAAAAUUGUUUUCUAAGCCAGGUGUGGUGGCGCACACCUUUAAUCCCAGCACUCAGGAGGCAGAGGCAGGCAGAUCUCUGAAUUCAAGGCCAGCCUGGUCUACAGAGUGAGUUCCAGGACAGCCAGGACUAUUACACAGAGAAACCCCGUCUCGGAAAACAACAACAAAAAAACCCAAAAAAAUUUUUUUUCUAAAUUUUGUAAUAAUAAAAAUAAGAUGUAUUUAUACUGAAGUUAUAAAACUUAAGGUCAAUUCAAUACUCUGAGAUAAAAUUGAUGAUUAAUUCUCUACAAUACUUUAAGUAUUGAUUUGUUCUUAGUAAUGUUUACAAAAAAAAUCGCUUGAAGCAACAAUAAAAUCCUUUGCUCAUUCUUUGACUUAAAUGUGUAUUUAAAACCUGAGAUUAAAUGUGUUUUCCCAUUGAACAAAGCCUUUGUUUUUUGAAUAGUCAUUGCUUUAAUCAUUUAAAAAAAAAUCUGUUUAGAGACAUGCCUCUUUAGAAUAUUCCUACUAAAUUCAAUAAUGAUUGUAAAACUUUUACAAGGACAAAUAUUUAAAUCUGUUUAUACAAUUUGGUCUGUUAGUUAGUGAGUAACACAGAGAGUUAUAAAAGGCCUUUAAGUAGGAUUAACUAAAUUCCAAAGUAGUCACAGAGUCUUCCUCAAAGGGUAAAGACAACCGGAUGAUUUCAUCAACUGAAAGGAAAAAAGACAGCAUGGCAAGACUCCAUUCUGACAAGAAGAGCCGGCUGUGUCCAGGUGCUUCCACCUCCCUCCUAGACACUGUACUCUGCAAAUUAUAUAAAAUUUAUAUGGAAGAGUUUUUUUUUUUUUUUUUUUGAGACAUGGUUUCUCUGUGUAGACCAGGCUGGCCUCGAACUCACAGCAAUCCACCUGCCUCUGCCUCCCAAGUGCUGGGGUUAAAGGUGUGUGCCACCAUGCCUGGCUUUAUAGAAUAGAUUUAUAUUACAUAUAAUUUAUGUAAAUAUAGUCGCAACAUAGGUCUAUCAUUUCCAUUGAUAGGAUCAUUAUAAAGGUGUAUGGCCGGGUUGGAACUGUGUUUUCAAUGUGGUGAUGUAGGCAGGGGUUAGUUCUACUCACUCCUCACAGCCCAGCAUCAUUGUGGCUAUCAUUUAGCAGAAGAGGAAACUGAGGCACAGAGUGGGUGAGUGACUGUUCAAAGUCACCCAGGGAGACCUGGCUGCAUGGUGCAGGGCUUUUGCUACCAAGGUGUUGUAAGCAAUAACAGCAUGCUUCUGGGGAAUGGUGGGCUGUGUACCGAGUGUGGCCAGAGCACUGGGGACUGUUGGCAUACUGGCCUGAGCCUUGAUGUUGUUCAAUAAGCAUAGCUACCUGCUGCUGUUCAAGAAGUCAUUUCGCUGGCUCCCGGGGCUCAGGCAGAGGCCUCCUUUGGGCUCUGCAGGUCCAGUUCUCCCUCCUGAUCACACAGUGAGUCAUGACUGUGUGGUCACCCUGAUUACACGUCUGUCUGUACUGCCGGCUGAGCCCAGGGGGCUGGUUUGAACAGGAUUGUUAGUCUUGUUCAUGUGGUCUCUCUACUCUCUACUGAAAUGGUCACAAACGGUCUCUUUGGGGGGGGUGGGGGCUCAUCAGCCAUCUUGCCAUGUGACAGAAAGUCACCCGACUGGGAGGGUGCCUUUGGGGUUGCCUGACUUGAGAACACACUCCUUGGGUUAGUUGUACAGCAAGCAAGUCUCAAGGAGAGCUGCUGAGGCUCAGGCUCAGGUGAAAGGGGAGCGGGGAGAGGCCCAAGGUGGGCACUGGAAUGCUGGGAGCAGCAUCAGCCCCAACUCAGCUGGAGAACCCCAAAGGCUCAACAGUUGAUGAUGCAGCACCCCAUCCAGAGUGGGCCAUGCAUGACAGACCAGUGAGUCCUUCAGGCUAGGUUGGGGACCUUAAAAUCCUCCUAACUCCUAACCCCUCACUGGAUGAUGGAGCCUUUCUGUCUCACCUAGCCUUCCUAGACACCCCAAAAGGAAACAACUGUUGGGCACUGGGGCCAGGAAGGAGACUGAGGCUCAGACAGUGAAUGGACUUGUUCAAGGUCACACAGCAGGGACGCACCAUCCAAUCCAGCCUGCCUCACUCUGGCCCAGAUCCUCUGGAGACACCAGCAGCCGCAUCCCCACUUCCUCCCACAGCCUGGUACCCAGCAGGAGCUGGGGGGAAGCGCCACUGAACUAAAUUGAAAUCCCAACUGCUAAAUUGCGCUGUGAUAAAAGGCUGCUUUUCUUGACAGAACCCAUGGAAGCCGUCCUGAGAUGCCUCUCUCCCAGUCCCCUCCUGGAACCCCACGGCUCCUUGAGAAAUAUUUAUGCUGGCGACAGGUUAUUUUUUUUAUUCUUAAAAUAGAUUAUUCACAAGGCAGCUGACUAAUUGGGCCCGUACUGUUAUAAUGGGCUGGGGCCAGAUGUAUCUGGAUGAUUAGGAAACUUUAAGCACACACAGGGGCUCCUUCCCUUUGUCAGCCUGUCCCCACGUCUGAGUCCCCUCUCAGCAUCCUUGGUGACUCAGGACAGCUGCGACGGUCCCAGGAGAAACCCAGGUGAGGCUGGCCCUUGUCAUCCGGCGCGCCACAGGCCUAGACUUCAGGUGUGGCCAGGUGUGACCAUCCUGAAGACACUCGCCUGGUGUGUCUUCCGAUCCCAUCACCUGCACCUCCUAUUCUGAGGAAGUUGCUUCUUUGUCUGCCUGCUGUGUCCUUUACCUCUGGAUGCUGCCUGAGACACAGGGGCUGUCCACAGAUGACUUCCCAGCCAGGGGCCGGGCCUGGAGACCCUGUUCUUUUCCACCCGCAUUGGAUGACCUUGGAGGUGCUGUUUGCUCGCUCCUCGAGUCUCAGUCUACUGACUUGCGAACAGGCAUGCCUGCCCUCUUAGGAUAAUAAGCUUUUCAAAGAUCCUGACGAGGUUCCAGGUGCAGAAGAGUAAACGCUGCUUAUGACAAUCCUUGCUGAUGCUGGCCUCCAGCUUUUCCCGAGACACCCCCUGUGCCCCAGCCCGAGUUUCCCUCCCAAAGCUUAGUAGCACCCUGAGCUGUUCUGAGCCCUUCCGUAUCAGACGUUUGCCCACACACUCCAACCCUUCACCUCUCAAAGCUCCUGAAUGACUUCAUUGCAAAGAACAGUAGAAAUGGUAGCAAAAGCCCUCUGCUAGCUCAGGGCUCCUGGUAAUGGAUCAGCACCCACAAAUAUGGAAAUAAAGCACCCCCCCCCCGGGAGCCAAGGCCUCACAGGCGUGCCUGGCUGCGCGCAGCAUGGAGGUGUCCACUUCAUCUUCUUGUCGGCAGGAGGAACCAGGCCCUGAUUAAUGGUUUCUCCGUGCCAGUUCCCCAUGGAAUCAUUAAACACAGGAUCGGUUUCAUUAAACAGAUCCAGGACAAUUCACCUUGUGUAAUCAUAUCACAUAAAAUUUUGCCUUGGUUCUGCUCCA